Molecule: ribosomal RNA, 253 nt
Filed under: uncultured bacterium
Lineage: Bacteria
Description: partial 16S ribosomal RNA
Rfam family: Bacterial small subunit ribosomal RNA
Source: RNAcentral
UACGUAGGGCGCAAGCGUUAUCCGGAAUUAUUGGGCGUAAAGAGCUCGUAGGCGGUUUGUCGCGUCUGCCGUGAAAGUCCGGGGCUCAACUCCGGAUCUGCGGUGGGUACGGGCAGACUAGAGUGCGGUAGGGGAGAUUGGAAUUCCUGGUGUAGCGGUGGAAUGCGCAGAUAUCAGGAGGAACACCGGUGGCGAAGGCGGUUCUCUGGGCAUGAUCUGACGCUGAGGAGCGAAAGUGUGGGGAGCGAACAGG